This 3158-nucleotide long non-coding RNA is filed under the name Lactuca sativa (garden lettuce). RNAcentral describes it as "long non-coding RNA (LSAT_LNC001467)". Lineage: Eukaryota; Viridiplantae; Streptophyta; Magnoliopsida; Asterales; Asteraceae. The record is from RNAcentral.
GAAACUUUCAAUCCCGAAGAUUGAAUAUUGACUCCUCGUAGUUGUCGUGUGUUUAUUGAAGUACUACGGUUAUUUGAUUUUUGAUUUGUUAUUGAUUCAAGACCGAAUCAAUUCGUUUGGUAAUGAUAUUGGUUGUUGAAAAUGUAUUUGUUAUUAAAUUUCGCCGGUAGUCGUCGAUCUCGUAUUUUGUCUUAAGGGAUUUAUUUGAUAUGCUAGUUCACCAUAAACAGAGCUCUGAUACCAACCUGUCACACCCCCGAACCAGACGGCGGAAACGUCCAAGGGCUCUUGUGACUUAAAUUGAAUACCAUCACAAUGAUUAUACACGAAUCAUAACAUCAUUCAUCACCAUGCAUUGAAAUAUUACAACCGAUAUUGUUUACAUUCAGUACAUUGUUUUAACAUUACAAUUUCAUAACAUAAACCGUUUGAUCAUUAAUCUAAGCAAAACACCAUGAUAUAACUUGAUACAUAUUCUUCUGUUUACCUGUUACCUGAGAAUACAAGUUAUUUUGAAAACGGUCAACAUAUGAAAUGUUGGUGAGUUCAUAAGUAAUGUUAUGGAAAAUGAUUUUUUUGUGAAGUUUGAAAACCCAGAAAAUCCGAUAUUUUCUGAAAAGAGUAUUGUUUAUAAAAAGUGUGAAGAUCCGUAAGUAUGCUUGUCGAUUUUGAAAACAUGUAUAAUUGUUGAAUUUUGUAUACAUCAUGUAGGUAAAAGUGUUGAACUCCCCGGGAAAACCCGAUGUUUUCCCAAUGCGUAAAUUACUUGACUUGUUUAUUGUUAUACCGAUACUACGAUUGUUUUUUGUUACCCAGGUAACAUUGGAUUAAUUAAGGGUUGUGAGUUGUUACAAUCACGCAUUAUUGAAAAUGACUAGUUUGUAACUACAAAUUAUGAACGAUCCUUGAGGCGUCGUCCAUACUACUCACAUAAUCGAACCACCCUGACUUCUCUUGUUUAACAUCACGAAUCUGCUUAUUCGGUUUCUCAUAGCCCCACAAUCGAGGAGAAAGGAGGGUAAGAAGCCUCCUUUAUUUCCAUAAGUCAUUCAAGGCUAUUGGGAAUGCGAAAGGCACUUGGCCCGACUCGUAUUUGACUUCUCGACUUCGCUAGCAGUACUAAUGGACCCUUGGGGCCCAACAACACAAUAGAGCUAUUGAAAGUCCUUUUACAUGGAAUAAGAUCAUAGAAGGCCCAUUAACAUGUAAGCGCGUCCCCUUCAGGCCUAAAGAUCAUGUUAUUGGGAUAGGAAGGCCCAAGAAGCACAAUUUGAAACUUUCAAUCCCAAAGAUUGAAAAUUGACUCCUCGUAGUUAUCGCGUGUUUAUUGAAGGACUACGGUUAUUUGAUUUUUGUUUUGUUAUUGAUUCGAGACCGAANNNNNNNNNNNNNNNNNNNNNNNNNNNNNNNNNNNNNNNNNNNNNNNNNNNNNNNNNNNNNNNNNNNNNNNNNNNNNNNNNNNNNNNNNNNNNNNNNNNNUAGAGUCGGGGUACAUAGCAUAGAUCCUAAUGACCUAGUAAGAUAGGUCUAUCCCUAGUCGCGGUGAGUUGUGCCCGGGGGUGGUGCUGAGGAAGUGGAUGCUCCCUAAAGACGAGCCACCUGUCGUUCUGCGUCCUGGAGUCGAGACUCCCACCUCACCUGCCUCAUAUGGAACUCUCGAAGAACGUCUCGUGUCUCCUGCUCUGCACGCUCGACCCUAGUCCACAUCUGGCGUACUUGGUCGGCGGUGCUCUGAGCUAUGUCGCCGGUGUUCCGUAACCGUUUCACCAUGACCGGAAGGGCUCGAUCGGCCGGUCCUCCGUCCCUCAGGUCAAAGAACUCGCGUGACAUGCCGAACGGGGGUCGCUGUCCCUGCUGUCUGCUCCGCCUCCAAAGAUCAAUACUCCAAAGGGGUGUAGGACCAGUGGGGCCCACCCGGUAAGCGGGCACCCUAAUCGGGUAAGGGGGGUUGAUGACUUCGGACUCCGCGUCCGAAUCACCCCCUUCAUUAUCGCCGGGUUCCUUCUCAGAGAUUCCUUCAUCUUCUUCCUCCUCCUGUUCUUCUUCUGGUUCGACAGGCUCGCCCUCGACGUCUGCCUCCGGUUCCCCGUCAGAUUCCUCCUCGGGGUUUUCCUCAGGCUCUUCUUCAGGAUCUUCAUCUAACCAUUUGUUAUUUCCCUGGUUAGGGAAGUAAGGAUCUUCGGGGUGAUGGAAACCAGCCAUGCUGUCUGUGAGAGUGCGUAAAUAUGCUAACAUUAUUCCUAAGACGCUAAAACUAUUGUAUAGAUUGAACGGAUGUUCUCUUCUUGGAGUAAAGGGGUAUAUUUUUAGGUUUCCUAGCUAUCACGAUCUCUUCAGGAAAUGUGAUAGUUGUACCUUGGAGGAAAUAUAGUUGAUAAGGCUACAUCCACUCCUUGAUACGACUAAGAACAGUCCUGGCUUAACCGAGAUACUAGCAUUAUCUUGUUUAGUUCGGUAUUAUGUUCUUUUUCCUAAUACAAGCAAGGAUGUUUUUAUUGUUAUGUUUCACUUGUUUUGUUCAGAGUUGUGUUAGUCCCUCUUUUUGGUUUAUAGUCGCAUAUCAAUGUGUGGUUAGAUAUGCUAGUUCACUAUAAACAGAGCUCUGAUACCAACCUGUCACACCCCCGAACCAGACGGCGGAAACGUCCGAGGGCUCUUGUGACUUAAUUGAAUACCAUCACAAUGAUUAUACAUGAAUCAUAACAUCAUUCAUCACCAUGCAUUGAAAUAUUACAACUGAUAUUGUUUACAUUCAGUACAUUGUUUUAACAUUACAAUUUCAUAACAUAAACCGUCUGAUCAUUAAUCUAAGCAAAACACCAUGACAUAACUUGAUACAUAUUCUUCCGUUUACCUGUUACCUGAGAAUACAAGUUAUUUUGAAAACGGUCAACAUAUGAAAUGUUGGUGAGUUCAUAAGUAAUGUUAUGGAAAAUGAUUUUUUUGUGAAGUUUGAAAACCCAGAAAAUCCGAUAUUUUCUGAAAAGAGUAUUGUUUAUAAAAAGUGUGAAGAUCCAUAAGUAUGCUUGUCGAUUUUGAAAACAUGUAUAAUUGUUGAACUUUGUAUACAUCACGUAGGUAAAAGUGUUGAACUCCCCGGGAAAACCCGAUGUUUUCCCAAUGCGUAAAUUACUUGACUUGUUUAUUGUUAUACCGAU